Populus euphratica (Euphrates poplar) is the source of this 143-nucleotide long non-coding RNA. RefSeq lists it as uncharacterized. The record is from RefSeq and is a predicted model, not a curated record. NCBI's taxonomy places the organism in Eukaryota, Viridiplantae, Streptophyta, Magnoliopsida, Malpighiales, Salicaceae. The transcript is spliced from 2 exons.
CUGGGCAUUAAAAAAAAAGAAGAAAAGAGAGAGAGAGAGAGAGAGAAAGAGCGUUGUUGAUGUGGUUGUGGUGGUUGGGAGAAACUAGAAGGAAAGCAGAGGAACUGAAAUAGACCGUGAUAAUAAUGAUGAGGAGCGGAGGA